This is a long non-coding RNA of Eriocheir sinensis (Chinese mitten crab), 3716 nucleotides long. RefSeq lists it as uncharacterized. The transcript has 2 exons. The record is from RefSeq and is a predicted model, not a curated record. Lineage: Eukaryota; Metazoa; Arthropoda; Malacostraca; Decapoda; Varunidae.
UACCUCUCGCCCUUAACCUGUCUAUUCUAUCCCUUAUUUUUUCUUAAAUUUCUCCUCUCCAUACGAUAAUUGAGGAAAAACAACUACCAUAUUAAUCUUCCCCAUUUCGUCUGUCUGCGUGUCUGAUCCUGUUAUAUUGUUAUCAAGUGUACCUCUCGCUUAAGCUGUCUACUCCAUUCCUUACUUUUCUUUAAUUUUCCUCUCCGUACGAUAAUUGUGAGGAAAAACAACUACCGUAUUAAUCUUUCCCAUUCCGUCUGUCUGUUUGUGCUUUCUCCUCUACACAGAAUAGGGAGGGAAAAAAGGACAUCAUCAAACACUCCAAUUCUGUCUCUCUUUUUCUAUCUUUUUAUAUCGCCCUCUAGUAUAGUUCCCCGUUAAACUGUUCUCCAUUUAUUAUUUUUCUUUAAUUUCUCCUCUACACAGCAUAGGGAGAGGAGAAAGGACAUUAUCAAACACUCCAAUUCUUUCUGUCCGUCUCUUUUUUUUAUCCUUUUAUAUCGCCCUCUAAUGUAGCUCCCCCUUAAGCCGUUUUCUAUUCCUUACUUCUCUACAUAACUCUAAUUUCUCGUCUCCGUAAGAUAAGGGAGAGGAAAGAGGACGCUUAGAAUUCUUCCCGGGUAUUAUCAAACAACUUAUUCUGUGUAUCUUUCCCUCCUCCUCCUCCUCCUCCUCCUCCUCCUCCCUCUUAACUCGUCUCUUUUACCCCUUACUUCUCUAAUUUCUCGUCUCCGUAAGAUAAGGGAGAGGGCAGAGGAUGCUUAAAAUUCUUCCCGGCUGCUUCCCUGCUUGAGUUUCGUCGCCUUCAGAAACGAGAACUUCCAGGGGUAAAAAAAACUCCAUCUGGUCUAAGUUUUUAUCAACAUUACUUUCACGCGCGUAAUUGCAGUUUAGACUUAACUUCACACACAAACACUCAGAGUACCAACGCUCUAAACUUUCCCCUCGUAUAAUGUAAGCUCCUUAAAGUUGCUGGGAGGCCGCUGAAUACAUAAUCUACAAACAAGAAAGCCGUUGCCUGAAACAUUCUCGUUAGCAUCUACUUAAGGGCCGAGUGAGCGACGGGGAAAGGACCGGCGAGGACAAAGACUGAGACGAUGACUUAAGGGGCUAUUACACUGGGCAAAUUUUCCGUGGAUCUUCAGUCAGACCACGAUUUCCGCUAGCGUGGUUCUCAUUUGUUUCUUGUUAUUGCUGCUGAUGAUGAUGGUGAGUAAUACCGUCGUCCUUUGGUGAAAUCUACCGUAGCUUUGGAAGAUCGUGGACACGUCGGAGAACCACGCCAGCGGAAAUCGUGGUCUGACUGAAGAUCCACGGAAAAUUUGCCCAGUGUGAUAUCCCCUUUAGCUGUUGACGGCUAGCGGCAUCGUCAAAAGGACGGAGAGUUCUGAGAAAGAAGCGGAGUACUAAAAAUCGCGACAAACACCUCAGACUUCUUUUGCAAUGCUUAAUUAGUGUCGUAAGUUUGGGGUACGAGAGGAUGGGAGAGAGAGUUCGAGAGAGAGAAAGAGCAUCAGUACUUCAGGUUUUCCAUUUACUAUAUACAAGUUUUCGCCUCACAAUUGCGUCCAGUCCUCCCUUCACAUGCUCAACCAUAGACCGUGAGGGGUGACAACUGAUCGCUGGCUAGACUCGCUAUUAGCUAAGAUAUAAGCAACCUAAGAAUCAAUGGACUGUCAGGAUGUUGAUACGAGAGGGCCAGGUGACUGAUGGAUGCUGGGAAGGGUCGCCAAGUUACCAUUGGGAGGCAAAAUAACAUCUGACGAAGGAGGAAGUAGUGAAAAACUGUGGCAAUGGCUGACGGCGAUGCGUAGGAAGUUUUAAGAGGAAAUUUCGGGAUUCCUGAGUGGGUUUUUUUGUCUUCAUCUUUCCUUCGCGAAUAGCCGUGGGAAGUAAGAAGAGAAAAGUGAGUAUUGCCAAGUGAGAUGAUUAAAUGAAACUGACGUCUAUUAUUGCUGUUAUCAUCAAUGUUAUUCAAGUCACAUCCAUGCCCUCAGGUACAGCUAGAUGCAUGGUUCUCGUUGCUUCCCUUUGGCGCCCACGGUAUACAUAUUCUUCCCACCUAUGCAUUAUGUAUGUAUAUGUAUAUGUAGUUUUAAGUAUAGUACGAACCAUUAACACAAAAACGAUGAUAAAAUGGAUAAAUGGACGAUUGAAUGAGAGUAAAAAAAAGUAAACAUGAAUAUACUAAAUUUAUAAUCCAUGAUCAAAAGAAGUGCGUAAUGCGAGUGUGUGUGUGUGUGUGUGUGUGUGUGUGUGUGUGUGUGUGUGUGUGAUGAUAUACAGAACCACAUUUAUGGCUUUGAAGACCGCCAGAUUACGCGCACAUUAGUCGAAUGCAAACCUUCACUUUUUUUUUGUGCAACUUUUUAAUUUUUCAGGCAAUGCACAAAACACGGCUUCAUCUCUUUUUAAUGUACUCGAAUAUAUACAUAAUUUUUUUUUUUUUAGUAACAGAAAAGCGUAAUGUGUGUGUGUGUGUGUGUGUGUGUGUGUGUGUGUGUGUGUGUGUGUGUGUGUGUGUGUGUGUGUGUGUGUGUGUGUGUGUGUGUGUGUGUGUGUGUCAAACUUUUGCAAAUUUGGAGAGCGAGUGAGAGAGAGAGGAGAAAAGAGGGAAUAAUACAACUUUUCAACUUUCACACACUCGAAAACACGUGGAACUUGAAAGCCGUAGUAAGUUUUCUAAUGAGAGUCCGACUUGAAAACAGGAUAGAGUGGGAGGGCGUGAGAGGGAGAGGGAGAGAAGGAGGGAGUCACUCAGUCGCUAGGCAAGCCCCUCGCCUCACCUCCCUAAAAUGCUGUGUAAAUAGAGCCAAGCCGCCCAGAAGUAGCGGCACACGAGUUGAAAUCAGUGUUAUAACCGUAUGAAGGCCUGAACAUAUUUCCUCUUACCCUUGCCAAUAUACUACCCAUUUUCCUUUUCGGAGUGUGGGCAGCAAGCUCGUUUUCUUUUUUCUGAUCCCUGCCUAUACUAUCCCAUUUUCGUUUUUAGGGGGUGGGGGCAGUAAGGUUUGGGUAGGAAGCUCAUUUUUUCUUUCAUACACUGACCUCCGAUGUUAAAUAGCUGAAAUCAAGUGCUAUUGCUGUGUGAAAGCCUAACAUUUUAUUUUCUUAACCUUGCCAAUACUAUCCCAUUUUCGUUUUUCGGAGGUGGGGGCAGUAAGGUUUGGGUAGGAAGCUCAUUUUUUCUUUCAUACACUGACCUCCGAUGUUAUAUGGCUGAAAUCAAGCGCUAUUACUGUAUGAAAGCCUCGACAUAGUACUUUUUCUUACCCCUGCCAAUACUACCCCAUUUUCGUUUUUCGGAGGUGGGGGCAGUAAGGUUGGGUCAUAAAGCUCACAUCUUCUUUUCCAUACACUGACCUCCGCUGUUAAAUGGCUGUAUGAAGGCCUCGACAUACUUUUUUCUUAUCCCAGCCAAUACUACCCCAUUUUAGUGUUAGUGGGUGGGGCGGUAUGGUUGGGUCAGAGAGCUCAUAUUCUCUCUAUUUUCAUACACUGGUUUCCGCUGUUAUAUGGCUGAAAUCAAGUGCUAUUACUGUAUGAAGGCCUCGACGUGUUAUACUUCCUUCCCUGCCAAUACUACCCACUCUCCUUUUUAGGGGCGUGGGUCAGCAAGCUCGUGUUUCCUUUGUUUCAUACACUCACUGAUUUCUUCUGUUAUAAUUAUGUUAGUCUUUAAGGUGUUACUGUAUGAAUAAAAUAUCAAGAGUUUG